This 499-nucleotide ribosomal RNA is filed under the name Vibrio sp. 2N11. RNAcentral describes it as "bacterial SSU rRNA". It matches the Rfam family "Bacterial small subunit ribosomal RNA", at positions 380 to 875 of the family's 1533-position model. The record is from RNAcentral. Lineage: Bacteria; Pseudomonadati; Pseudomonadota; Gammaproteobacteria; Vibrionales; Vibrionaceae.
AGCCUGAUGCAGCCAUGCCGCGUGUAUGAAGAAGGCCUUCGGGUUGUAAAGUACUUUCAGCAGUGAGGAAGGUGGUGUCGUUAAUAGCGGCAUCAUUUGACGUUAGCUGCAGAAGAAGCACCGGCUAACUCCGUGCCAGCAGCCGCGGUAAUACGGAGGGUGCGAGCGUUAAUCGGAAUUACUGGGCGUAAAGCGCAUGCAGGUGGUUUGUAGUCAGAUGUGAAAGCCCGGGGCUCAACCUCGGAAUUGCAUUUGAAACUGGCAGACUAGAGUACUGUAGAGGGGGGUAGAAUUUCAGGUGUAGCGGUGAAAUGCGUAGAGAUCUGAAGGAAUACCGGUGGCGAAGGCGGCCCCCUGGACAGAUACUGACACUCAGAUGCGAAAGCGUGGGGAGCAAACAGGAUUAGAUACCCUGGUAGUCCACGCCGUAAACGAUGUCUACUUGGGUUGUGGCCUUGAGCCGUGGCUUUCGGAGCUAACGCGUUAAGUAGACCGCCUG